RNAcentral lists this ribosomal RNA (431 nucleotides) under uncultured bacterium. RNAcentral describes it as "partial 16S ribosomal RNA". It matches the Rfam family "Bacterial small subunit ribosomal RNA", at positions 29 to 506 of the family's 1533-position model. The record is from RNAcentral.
GCGAACGCUGGCGGCAGGCCUAACCCCUGCCAGUCGAACGAACUCUUCGGAGUUAGUGGCGGACGGGUGAGUAACACGUGGGAACGUGCCUUUUGGUUCGGAAUAACUCAGGGAAACUUGUGCUAAUACCGAAUGUGCCCUUCGGGGGAAAGAUUUAUCGCCAUUAGAGCGGCCCGCGUCUGAUUAGCUAGUUGGUGAGGUAACGGCUCACCAAGGCGACGAUCAGUAGCUGGUCUGAGAGGAUGACCAGCCACACUGGGACUGAGACACGGCCCAGACUCCUACGGGAGGCAGCAGUGGGGAAUCUUGCGCAAUGGGCGAAAGCCUGACGCAGCCAUGCCGCGUGAAUGAUGAAGGUCUUAGGAUUGUAAAAUUCUUUCACCGGGGACGAUAAUGACGGUACCCGGAGAAGAAGCCCCGGCUAACUUCGU